AAGCUUCAAACUACAAUGUUCAUGUAGCACCCACAUCUCUAAAACUAAUAAACUAUAAAAUUAAAGAAAGAGAAGAGAAGAAAAACUUGUAGAAAGCCUGCUCCAAGUGUGAUUUGUGUUCUCCCAUCCAAAGUGGUGCAUUCUCCCCCCAAAAAUAUGUUGGAUCCCUCAAAAUUAGGUUUAGGACCCUUUUAUACGAGUUGGGAUUGUGAAAGACCAAAAUGACAUUGUCCCAGGACGAAAUAGGAAAACACGUAUCACAGCAUCCAGACCAGUGCUCGGCCAACAAUGAGUUUUGGGAUUUCGCUCUUGAAUCCUAUAGCCAGGUACGUUUUUUUUUUUUGCCUUCUUUCUUUUAAAUUGUAUUUCUCUUUCUUUUUGGUUUUCAA
This 389-nucleotide long non-coding RNA is filed under the name Nicotiana benthamiana. Its description in RNAcentral is "long non-coding RNA (NBEN_LNC037946)". Lineage: Eukaryota; Viridiplantae; Streptophyta; Magnoliopsida; Solanales; Solanaceae. The record is from RNAcentral.